GCUACCAUGGCCGAGAUGGACCAAGGCGUUACCCUUAAGAUGUAAUCCUCGUAAGAGGGCGCAGGUUCGAACCCUGCUGGUAGCA
Molecule: transfer RNA, 85 nt
Filed under: Monoraphidium minutum
Lineage: Eukaryota; Viridiplantae; Chlorophyta; Chlorophyceae; Sphaeropleales; Selenastraceae
Description: tRNA-Leu
Rfam family: tRNA
About the family: Transfer RNA (tRNA) molecules are approximately 80 nucleotides in length. Their secondary structure includes four short double-helical elements and three loops (D, anti-codon, and T loops).
Source: RNAcentral